AACAUAUAUCUAUGUAAUAAUUGCAGAAGGUCUGCGCCGUCUCUUUAAUGUGCGGUGGAAGUCUGCGCACACGGCUCUCAAUGCAGGGGAGAUGGGACACACCUAGAAGAGGAGGACCAGCCGCUGGGAACACGUGGUUUCAUCUUUAGUCAAUUUGGUGAUUAGAAAACCGGCCCCCCCAAAAUAAUCGACAAACCGGCGGUUUCACAAAACUGCACUUUAGUAAAUUUCCAUCAUGUUGUAUUCAGCGCCAGUAAUUAAUCUCUACUGUGUGAAAUGUCCAAUGACCUCUAGCUGUGUAACAGGACCGGUCAUAGGAACGUCCCUAAAUUCUAAAGUGCUUCGCUGUAAUGCGGUGGGUGGAAGCCCUUGGACUGAAAUAGAUUCCACGAUGAGUCAGUACGGAGAGUGACUCCCUGCAGAAUUACACGCUUCAUUUUAAGGAAGUUUACACUAGAAUUGCAUAUACAUUAAAACAUGUAUUACACCUUA
Pseudophryne corroboree (corroboree frog) is the source of this 492-nucleotide long non-coding RNA. RefSeq lists it as uncharacterized. The transcript has 2 exons. NCBI's taxonomy places the organism in Eukaryota, Metazoa, Chordata, Amphibia, Anura, Myobatrachidae. The record is from RefSeq and is a predicted model, not a curated record.